RNA transcript from Cavia porcellus (domestic guinea pig), 5227 nucleotides. It is a transcript of the gene named DnaJ heat shock protein family (Hsp40) member C5, with no coding region annotated. NCBI's taxonomy places the organism in Eukaryota, Metazoa, Chordata, Mammalia, Rodentia, Caviidae. The record is from RefSeq and is a predicted model, not a curated record. The transcript has 6 exons.
CCCGUCAGAGUCCACGUCCUUCCGAGGGCGUGCGUGCUAGUGCGGGUGCGUGCGUGAGCGUGCGUGAACGUGUAUGAGCGUGCGCGUGUCCGCCGCCGGUGCUGCUCCCGCGCCCCGUGUUGCUACCCGCGACUGCCGGGAUUCCCAGCUUGAGGAGUGCGUCGGCUGGCUGCCAGCAACGCCGCGGAGCGGGAGCGGAGCCGCGGAGCCGGCGGCAGGCGGCGGGCGGACAGAUUAACUUACUAUGGCAGAUCAGAGGCAGCGUUCACUCUCUACCUCUGGAGAAUCACUGUACCAUGUUCUCGGGUUGGACAAGAAUGCAACCUCAGAUGACAUUAAGAAAUCCUAUCGGAAACUUGCCCUGAAAUAUCACCCAGACAAGAACCCUGAUAAUCCAGAGGCUGCAGACAAGUUUAAGGAGAUCAACAACGCCCACGCCAUUCUGACGGAUGCCACAAAAAGAAACAUCUAUGACAAGUAUGGCUCUCUGGGGCUCUACGUGGCUGAGCAGUUUGGGGAAGAGAACGUCAACACCUACUUUGUACUCUCCAGCUGGUGGGCCAAGGCCCUUUUUGUCUUCUGUGGCCUCCUCACCUGCUGCUACUGCUGCUGCUGCCUGUGCUGCUGCUUUAAUUGCUGCUGUGGGAAGUGUAAGCCUAAGGCCCCUGAGGGCGAAGAGACUGAAUUCUACGUGUCCCCUGAGGACCUGGAGGCCCAGCUGCAGUCUGACGAGAGGGGAGGGCACUGACACUGUGCCGCGAGUGUUUGUGGUGGCAGCUGGGACUGUUGAGGUGUGAACAUGGACACUUGAGAGGCCACAGACACACCAAUCGUCAUACAGCCAGCGUCUGCCACAGAGACCACCCAGCUCACAGCCGACUCCCAUCCCAGCUACCAUACUGACGGGUUCAACUAAGUUCAGGAAAAGCUGUGAUUAGAGGAUGAAUCAGCACCCAGCCACUGCAACCUUAGAAUCAUGAACUGUAGUCACCGAGAUAGGGAGGAGUUGCUGACCUACCUGGCCGUGUCAGGCCCCUCCCACCUCCUCUACUCCCACCCAUCCAUCAAUCCUCGAUACAUGAAGUGCGUAGCAUGCAGUAUUUAAGGCAGUGUAGCUACGGUCUUCUCUGUUUUUCCUUUUUUAAUAGCAUGUAUGGGUUAUGUUCAGUGUCUGUGUUGUGGACAUGCCACGGCCUAGUUUCAUUAACUGGACAGUGGAGCUGCCUUGGGGCUUCCAGUCAGGUUGGUCCAGGAAGGGCUGACUACAGCUGCCAGGUUCUACCUGGCCAGUUGGGCUAGGAAACAACAGGCCUCCCCUUGCUUCCUGGUGCCCACCAGGACUGGAGGUAGGUGCUGCCUGGUAGAGCUGCAUCUCCUUGACCUUGGUGUCCCAAGGUGGGAACUGGUUCACACUCUGCUCCCUGGCCUGGAGGCUGUAGGCAGGGCACUGAUCUCUGGCUGGAAAAGGAAGUGGGCCAAAUCCUCCCGGGUACCACCAGCAUCAUAGUUAUUUUAGCAAUGUUUGUGUUAUACACAGUUUGCACCUUAUUUGCUUGGCUUCUUGGUGAAGUUUCUUCAGGGGAUAGAUCUGCUAUGGAAAGCAAGAAACCUCCAUUCCAAGGUGAACUUGUGCUCGGCACAGCAUCUUUAGCCUGCGUCUCUGCCAUGUGGACCGAGGUUCCUAUCCUUAGAGGUGUCUCUCUCACCAGUGUGGGGAAAGUCGUUUGUCUUUGUUGCUGUACCUUUCUCAAGCCAACAACUGGAUUGAUGGGGCCAUAGUCUCUUCUCUCUCUUCUGUAGUUCAAACUCCACAUUCCUUCAGACUUACCUGUUUUUUAAAUCUGUUUUUCAGUUUCUGGAAACUGCAGGUGAUAGCAUCUGCUUAGUCAUAGUGUGAGGGUCUGUGAGCCCAGGUGGUUGAUGGCACGUAGCUGCUUGUGCCUAGGAAGUGUUGUGUAGGUCUGUGGCCCCUGACAACCUCCUCUCUGUGCUUGCCAGAGUGUGGUGUCCCGUCUAUGCCCUUCCUUACCCCCAUCCCCACCUUCUUUACCUCCAUGGUUCAGCAGAGCAAGAAUAUUGGGUUCCAGGUGGGAGGCAUCUGGAACCAAGAUGCCUCGGGAGAGUUGGUCCAAGGGAGGCUGCAGUCAUGCCUCAGCUCAUCAGCCAACCUGGAAGGUUAGUGCUGGAUCACAAACCACUGUGUAAACCACUAGCAGUCAGUCUCUCCCUCUGUGCCCCACACCUUGUGGGUAAUGCCUCAGGUCAGGAAGCUGAGGAGAUGCAAACCAUGUGCCCAUACUGACCAAGGUUUGGAACCCCCUCUCCCGAAUCUACCUGCCUGUGCUAGACCAGACUCCAGUGGGCUUUAUUCCUACAGACCUUUCAGUGCCAGGCAUUCUCUCAAUUUCCAGUAGAGAUGGAGGAAAAGAAGGCUCACAUGGAGACUCCAUGGCCCAGGUGACUUGUGUACCCCUGAAGGCUACUUUCCCUCCCUCCCCCCCACCCCGCCUGCUGAUUCUUGGCCCCAGCUCACCAGCAUAUCUAGAGAGGAGGGUCAGGGUGACAGGAAGUGCAGGAAGGGACACCAAGGUAGGGAGGACAAACCUGACAUGCUUCACAAUGCCUCACUGGUUGGAAGUCCCCAGCCUGUCCUAGUUAGAACACAGUGACACUGCAGCCCCCAGCUGCUGUCCCUCAGGAGCUUGUUGGUUGCCAGCACCAGGUGCUUGAAUGUGUGUGUCUGUUUUGCUCGUUAAAAUGAUCAUGAAGACAUUAGGAGAACAUUCAUCUACGAUUUGUUAGAAAUAAUUUGGUAAUAUCAGACCUUGUGGAAGGGUAAGAAAUAACACUGUUGGGCCUGCCUAGAAACAGGAGGUGAGACAGUGGAUACCUUGUGGGCCAGCCCCAGUAUGACAGCAGUGAGGGACUCUGCAGAAAGGCCACCUGUCAACCUUUGUCACUUCCUAGAGAUCAGUAGAAAGUGAGUAGUUCUUCCCCAUAAUGGCCAGAAACCAGGUUCAGUGUGUAGAAAAAUAAAAAGUGUGAUGACCUGGCUGGGGGCUGCAGGAACAGCCAUCGUGGACUGUAGCUCUGUGGCUCUUCCUUCCUGUCCCAGGGACCCCGGCCAGGUAGCUCUUCAGCUGGAGAGCCCUGGGUAGUGGCUCGGAGGGAGAGCAGCACUUAACUCCUGUGUCCUGUGGAGUUUGUAAAGCUAAAGAAAUCAUGUAGAAUGUGUGAAAAUGAACACGACAGUUGUCAGGAUGAUGACAGUGAUUGCCCAAGGCCCAGCUAGGGAUAACUCUGAAUGCCAAGGUUGGGACUCCUUCCCACCACCUGAUCUUGACGCAAAUCGCUCUUCAGUGUUUCACUGUGUUGGUCUUAGGCCUGCCUGGUUUUGGCCCUUUUGAUAACUAGAGUCUUGGGGAGUCAGCUUGUACCACUUCCUGUCCAAGUGCUAAUAAAUCAGAAUGACCCCUGGCUCUCCUCAGAUUCCUAUGCUGAUGGCCAUAGCAGGCAUCCAUUCCCAGGGUACAGAUGGUGCCAGGGUAUAUUGCCUGGACAGUGCUACAGCCGUAUGCAUGGAAGCCUGUCGCAGCCACAGGUGUCCCUCAGGGUCCUGGCAACUCUGGUCACUUCUAAGGUGCAGGAAGAAUGUGGGAGAAACCUGUGAGGCCAUCUCAUGGGAGCUGCUGCUGCUGUGUAGAUUUCUGUUUCUGCAUAGUGAUGUGAUCUUUUCUUGUCUUCCUUUUGGCUUUAUUCUAUUUUUAAACUGCUUUAGAUAUUACUGCUCACUGUUCAUGAGCCUUCCUAGUUCUCUGAUGUUCAGUUAAUAUAGCCAGCACCCAGUGGGACCUGUUAGAAAAAGAAACCAGAGCACUCAGUGUAGUUGGCCAGAAACUUCAUCUCAGUGUCGUCGGUUGUUGGACUUGACCUCCAGCACUAGUCAAAGAAAGACCCUGAAUCACAAAAUGUCAGUAUUCCAGCUGUCUGACACCAAGUUCUGCUGGCAGCAGUGCCCAUGGUCCUGCUGAGCCCAUGGCAGUCUGUUCAGGGGAGCCCUGUGCUGGACAACAUCCACCAGUGCACCUGGCUGUCUCAAGAGAUGGUGGCCCUGGCACGCAGGCUGUCAGUAGAGGGUCCAGGUGCUGCGGCAGAACUGGGUGGAUCUCCUGCCACGGGCCCUCAGCACACCUUGCCAUGGAGAGGGUUUGUGAGAGGCGUACCAAGUGACUGAUCUCAUUCCUUUCCCAGUGUUCUGUGCCGUGAACCCAUGUGGCCCAGGACCAACUUGUGUCUGUUAUAUUUUGCUCAUGAAUCAUCUUCCUGUGGAAUUGGCAAGAGCUACAUCUUUACUGUACUCACAAGCACGGUUUGCGUUGUCAUACGCUGUGAGUGUGGGCUGUGGUGUGUGUCUGUGUGUACAUAUGUGUAUAUGUAUAUAUCAUGCAGCAAGCCUGUCAUGCUGCUGUCCAGUGGCUAAGCGACAAGUACAAUAAAGUUCGCUCUCAAGUAACUCUGGUUUCUUGGCAAGUUGGGUGGGGUAGGGUCCUCCCAGCAGGUACACAGUGGAAAAUUGAGCCACUGUGUGCAAAAAGUGCUUGUGCCUGAAAGCACGGCUGAGGCCCCAUCAGCACUGGACCUUCAGGUUGUGGCUGUCACAAACAUGUCCAUCCUUGGGGGCUCUGUCCUGCUUCUCUGACCCAAAGGUAUGGGAAAUCUAGAAAGGAGGUGUCUGGAAAGCCUCCUCUUCCUUGAAACAUUGAAACUACUUUUUUGAGCACUAAAUGCAAUCAGUGGCAAGGUUGUCUGUGAAGGGCAGCCUGGGCAGGGACUCGAUGCUGACCAGUCCUGGGAAGGGGCAGAGGCAACAUAUACUCCAGGAAGGGCUGAGCCAAGGGUCCUGCAGGCAGCGUUUGGGAGAUUUGAUCUAUAAAAUGGGGCAGUGUUUCAACCUGAAUGAUGGGGGAGGGAAUUUACACUGAAGCAUAUAUAUGCUAUUUUUAAAAAUGAAAUGCAAGUGCCCGGAAAGCAGUUGUCCAUGCACUGGUUUUACCUUGCUGCUGAAAACCAGUCACUCUGGGGUGCAAGCUGCUGUCGGAGCCCUGGCUGACUCAGACUCUUGCCUGCACGCCAAGGACCAGGCUGCAGGGCUCUGAUGGUUUCGCAUGGUGAUCUCCGUCUUAUAUGUCUGAAUGUUGACCUAAAAUAAAGGUAACUGUAAAUUAAA